RNAcentral lists this ribosomal RNA (527 nucleotides) under Cobetia marina. RNAcentral's name for it is "bacterial SSU rRNA". It matches the Rfam family "Bacterial small subunit ribosomal RNA", at positions 8 to 526 of the family's 1533-position model. The record is from RNAcentral. Lineage: Bacteria; Pseudomonadati; Pseudomonadota; Gammaproteobacteria; Oceanospirillales; Halomonadaceae.
AGAGUUUGAUCCUGGCUCAGAUUGAACGCUGGCGGCAGGCUUAACACAUGCAAGUCGAGCGGAAACGAUCCUAGCUUGCUAGGAGGCGUCGAGCGGCGGACGGGUGAGUAAUGCAUGGGAAUCUGCCCGAUAGUGGGGGACAACCUGGGGAAACUCAGGCUAAUACCGCAUACGUCCUACGGGAGAAAGCAGGGGAUCUUCGGACCUUGCGCUAUCGGAUGAGCCCAUGUCGGAUUAGCUUGUUGGUGAGGUAAUGGCUCACCAAGGCGACGAUCCGUAGCUGGUCUGAGAGGAUGAUCAGCCACACUGGGACUGAGACACGGCCCAGACUCCUACGGGAGGCAGCAGUGGGGAAUAUUGGACAAUGGGCGAAAGCCUGAUCCAGCCAUGCCGCGUGUGUGAAGAAGGCCUUCGGGUUGUAAAGCACUUUCAGCGAGGAAGAACGCCUUGGGAUUAAUACUCCCGAGGAAAGACAUCACUCGCAGAAGAAGCACCGGCUAACUCCGUGCCAGCAGCCGCGGUAAUAC